This 695-nucleotide ribosomal RNA is filed under the name Hebeloma velutipes. Its description in RNAcentral is "eukaryotic LSU rRNA". The record is from RNAcentral. Lineage: Eukaryota; Fungi; Basidiomycota; Agaricomycetes; Agaricales; Hymenogastraceae.
AAGUCGUAACAAGGUUUCCGUAGGUGAACCUGCGGAAGGAUCAUUAUUGAAUGAACUUGGUGUGGUUGUUGCUGGCUCUUUCGAGGGCAUGUGCACGCCCACCAUCCUCAUCUCUCCACCUGUGCACCUCUUGUAGACUUGGAUUGACUUUCCGAGGCAACUCGGUCGGGAGGAUUGCCGGCGCCAGCUGGCUUUCUUUGCAUUUCCAGGUCUACGUUUUUCAUAUACCCCAUUGUAUGUAACAGAAUGUAACAUUGGGCACUUGUGCCUAUAAACUUUAUACAACUUUCAGCAACGGAUCUCUUGGCUCUCGCAUCGAUGAAGAACGCAGCGAAAUGCGAUAAGUAAUGUGAAUUGCAGAAUUCAGUGAAUCAUCGAAUCUUUGAACGCACCUUGCGCUCCUUGGUAUUCCGAGGAGCAUGCCUGUUUGAGUGUCAUUAAAUUCUCAACCUUUAUCAACUUUUGUUGAUAAUGGCUUGGAUAUGGGGGUUUAUUUUGCUGGCUUCUUUACAGAUGGUCAGCUCCCCUUAAAUGCAUUAGCCGGUGCCCCGCGUGGACUGUCUAUUGGUGUGAUAAUUAUCUACGCCGUSGACAUCUGCAAUCAUAUGGGUUUGCACUGCUUCCAACUGUCUGUUGAAUCAGACAAUACAUGACAAUUUGACCUCAAAUCAGGUAGGACUACCCGCUGAACUUAA